This 371-nucleotide long non-coding RNA is filed under the name Mytilus galloprovincialis (Mediterranean mussel). Lineage: Eukaryota; Metazoa; Mollusca; Bivalvia; Mytilida; Mytilidae. The record is from RNAcentral.
ACAGUAUUACGUGGUUGCUUGAAUUGGGACACAACUGAAUGAUAAUUAUUCAAAUUAAAAAUAUAUAUUUUUUUUUUAAAUGCCUCUGGAAUUUAAGAAAAGAGAAUAGUUCUAAGUUGAAACAUUUGUUUCACUGAACGGGCAAACUACAUAAUGCGAUAAUUGGAAUUUUAGAAAAAUGUUAGUUUACGCGAACAGAUAGUAUAGUGUGUGAGUACAUUUGAAAUUCAACUACUAGUAAUUUGUUUACGUGUGCGUCAAAUUCUGAAAAUAACAUGAGAUAUCCGAAAAUUUAGUAAAUUUAUGAAUGUAUACAUGUAUAUAGAAAAUAUAAUAAAAAAGCACUAUAUAUUUUUUAGAGCAAAGUCUUG